This 1267-nucleotide ribosomal RNA is filed under the name Enterococcus mundtii. Its description in RNAcentral is "bacterial SSU rRNA". It matches the Rfam family "Bacterial small subunit ribosomal RNA", at positions 91 to 1345 of the family's 1533-position model. Lineage: Bacteria; Bacillati; Bacillota; Bacilli; Lactobacillales; Enterococcaceae. The record is from RNAcentral.
AGGAGUGGCGAACGGGUGAGUAACACGUGGGUAACCUGCCCAUCAGAAGGGGAUAACACUUGGAAACAGGUGCUAAUACCGUAUAACAAUCGAAACCGCAUGGUUUCGUUUUGAAAGGCGCUUUACGGUGCCGCUGAUGGAUGGACCCGCGGUGCAUUAGCUAGUUGGUGAGGUAACGGCUCACCAAGGCCACGAUGCAUAGCCGACCUGAGAGGGUGAUCGGCCACAUUGGGACUGAGACACGGCCCAAACUCCUACGGGAGGCAGCAGUAGGGAAUCUUCGGCAAUGGACGAAAGUCUGACCGAGCAACGCCGCGUGAGUGAAGAAGGUUUUCGGAUCGUAAAACUCUGUUGUUAGAGAAGAACAAGGGUGAGAGUAACUGUUCACCCCUUGACGGUAUCUAACCAGAAAGCCACGGCUAACUACGUGCCAGCAGCCGCGGUAAUACGUAGGUGGCAAGCGUUGUCCGGAUUUAUUGGGCGUAAAGCGAGCGCAGGCGGUUUCUUAAGUCUGAUGUGAAAGCCCCCGGCUCAACCGGGGAGGGUCAUUGGAAACUGGGAGACUUGAGUGCAGAAGAGGAGAGUGGAAUUCCAUGUGUAGCGGUGAAAUGCGUAGAUAUAUGGAGGAACACCAGUGGCGAAGGCGGCUCUCUGGUCUGUAACUGACGCUGAGGCUCGAAAGCGUGGGGAGCAAACAGGAUUAGAUACCCUGGUAGUCCACGCCGUAAACGAUGAGUGCUAAGUGUUGGAGGGUUUCCGCCCUUCAGUGCUGCAGCUAACGCAUUAAGCACUCCGCCUGGGGAGUACGACCGCAAGGUUGAAACUCAAAGGAAUUGACGGGGGCCCGCACAAGCGGUGGAGCAUGUGGUUUAAUUCGAAGCAACGCGAAGAACCUUACCAGGUCUUGACAUCCUUUGACCACUCUAGAGAUAGAGCUUCCCCUUCGGGGGCAAAGUGACAGGUGGUGCAUGGUUGUCGUCAGCUCGUGUCGUGAGAUGUUGGGUUAAGUCCCGCAACGAGCGCAACCCUUAUUGUUAGUUGCCAUCAUUUAGUUGGGCACUCUAGCAAGACUGCCGGUGACAAACCGGAGGAAGGUGGGGAUGACGUCAAAUCAUCAUGCCCCUUAUGACCUGGGCUACACACGUGCUACAAUGGGAAGUACAACGAGUCGCGAAGUCGCGAGGCUAAGCUAAUCUCUUAAAGCUUCUCUCAGUUCGGAUUGUAGGCUGCAACUCGCCUACAUGAAGCCGGAAUCGCUAGUAAUCGC